This 1369-nucleotide ribosomal RNA is filed under the name uncultured bacterium. RNAcentral's name for it is "bacterial SSU rRNA". It matches the Rfam family "Bacterial small subunit ribosomal RNA", at positions 28 to 1381 of the family's 1533-position model. The record is from RNAcentral.
GACGAACGCUGGCGGCGUGCCUAAUACAUGCAAGUAGAACGCUGAAGAGAGGAGCUUGCUCUUCUUGGAUGAGUUGCGAACGGGUGAGUAACGCGUAGGUAACCUGCCUUGUAGCGGGGGAUAACUAUUGGAAACGAUAGCUAAUACCGCAUAACAAUGGAUGACACAUGUCAUUUAUUUGAAAGGGGCAAUUGCUCCACUACAAGAUGGACCUGCGUUGUAUUAGCUAGUAGGUGAGGUAACGGCUCACCUAGGCGACGAUACAUAGCCGACCUGAGAGGGUGAUCGGCCACACUGGGACUGAGACACGGCCCAGACUCCUACGGGAGGCAGCAGUAGGGAAUCUUCGGCAAUGGGGGCAACCCUGACCGAGCAACGCCGCGUGAGUGAAGAAGGUUUUCGGAUCGUAAAGCUCUGUUGUAAGUCAAGAACGAGUGUGAGAGUGGAAAGUUCACACUGUGACGGUAGCUUACCAGAAAGGGACGGCUAACUACGUGCCAGCAGCCGCGGUAAUACGUAGGUCCCGAGCGUUGUCCGGAUUUAUUGGGCGUAAAGCGAGCGCAGGCGGUUUGAUAAGUCUGAAGUUAAAGGCUGUGGCUCAACCAUAGUUCGCUUUGGAAACUGUCAAACUUGAGUGCAGAAGGGGAGAGUGGAAUUCCAUGUGUAGCGGUGAAAUGCGUAGAUAUAUGGAGGAACACCGGUGGCGAAAGCGGCUCUCUGGUCUGUAACUGACGCUGAGGCUCGAAAGCGUGGGGAGCGAACAGGAUUAGAUACCCUGGUAGUCCACGCCGUAAACGAUGAGUGCUAGGUGUUGGAUCCUUUCCGGGAUUCAGUGCCGCAGCUAACGCAUUAAGCACUCCGCCUGGGGAGUACGACCGCAAGGUUGAAACUCAAAGGAAUUGACGGGGGCCCGCACAAGCGGUGGAGCAUGUGGUUUAAUUCGAAGCAACGCGAAGAACCUUACCAGGUCUUGACAUCCCGAUGCUAUUUCUAGAGAUAGAAAGUUACUUCGGUACAUCGGUGACAGGUGGUGCAUGGUUGUCGUCAGCUCGUGUCGUGAGAUGUUGGGUUAAGUCCCGCAACGAGCGCAACCCCUAUUGUUAGUUGCCAUCAUUCAGUUGGGCACUCUAGCGAGACUGCCGGUAAUAAACCGGAGGAAGGUGGGGAUGACGUCAAAUCAUCAUGCCCCUUAUGACCUGGGCUACACACGUGCUACAAUGGUUGGUACAACGAGUUGCGAGUCGGUGACGGCAAGCUAAUCUCUUAAAGCCAAUCUCAGUUCGGAUUGUAGGCUGCAACUCGCCUACAUGAAGUCGGAAUCGCUAGUAAUCGCGGAUCAGCACGCUGCGGUGAAUACGUUCCCGGGCCU